This is a non-coding RNA of Myotis davidii, 76 nucleotides long. Lineage: Eukaryota; Metazoa; Chordata; Mammalia; Chiroptera; Vespertilionidae. The record is from Rfam.
GGCAGUUCUCUGGUGACGCACGCUGUAAUCGGGCUCCCUCCUCUCUGGUUCCAGGGUGCAUCACCAGAGAACCACU